This 393-nucleotide ribosomal RNA is filed under the name uncultured bacterium. RNAcentral describes it as "partial 16S ribosomal RNA". It matches the Rfam family "Bacterial small subunit ribosomal RNA", at positions 523 to 918 of the family's 1533-position model. The record is from RNAcentral.
AUACGGAGGAUCCGAGCGUUAUCCGGAUUUAUUGGGUUUAAAGGGUGCGCAGGUGGGAGAUUAAGUCGGCGGUGAAAUUUUGCAGCUCAACUGUAAAAGUGCCUUCGAAACUGGUUUCCUUGAGUGUAGAUGAAGUAGGCGGAAUUUGUGGUGUAGCGGUGAAAUGCAUAGAUAUCACGAGGAACUCCGAUUGCGCAGGCAGCUUACUAAACUACUACUGACGCUCAGGCACGAAGGCGUGGGGAUCAAACAGGAUUAGAUACCCUGGUAGUCCACGCAGUAAACGAUGAUUACUAGCUGUUUGCGAUACAAUGUAAGCGGCUGAGCGAAAGCGUUAAGUAAUCCACCUGGGGAGUACGUUCGCAAGAAUGAAACUCAAAUGAAUUGACGGGG